Long non-coding RNA from Arabidopsis lyrata subsp. lyrata, 848 nucleotides. RefSeq lists it as uncharacterized. Lineage: Eukaryota; Viridiplantae; Streptophyta; Magnoliopsida; Brassicales; Brassicaceae. The transcript has 3 exons. The record is from RefSeq and is a predicted model, not a curated record.
ACAACGGACUAAUCCACUAAACGAAGCUACGUCGUUUCAGUUUAGGGUUACAUUUGGGCGUCUCUCUCCGAGAUCUCAACGAGAGUCAUCGUGAUUUUGUGUGUUUUUGAUUAUCUGAAAUCGAAACAGCUCCCAUAGCUUCUUCUCAAUUUUCUUCAAUUGUUGUUACCCUUCUCCCAAAUUCACGACUUUCUUCUGGGUUCGUCGGAACACUCACGGCAUUUGGUCGUGUCGGAGAGAGAUCUCAACAAGAGUCAUUGAUAUUCAUUUGAUCGUCGCAACGCAACACUUAAUAAUGAUUUGAAGGAAGUUGCGACUCUUUAAGCUCUUAAGAGUAAAGCAAGGCUAAGCUUAAGGAACGUUUCAAGACUGGGAAGAACAGGUGGUUCUUUACUAAGCUCAGGUUCUGAAUAACCUUUGAGAUUUUAUCUUUAUCGAAUUUUACAACUAUCUAUCUACUUUUUUUUGUUUAGUUCUAUAAUGAAUUUGGAUAAUUGUCAUGACUUUUAGUUCUGGAUUUUGUCUUUUUACUUAUGAUCAUUUGCUAUAUUGAUGCCUCCAUUUGAUAUGUUGUCACUGGUUUAAUAGUUUAUUGCUUACCAAACCUUGAAGAUGGUCAAAUGCUGCUCUAGACUCUGUUGUUUACUUUUAGGGAACAUAGAGAGCCGUAGAAGCAUUUUUGAGUUGUCAUCAUGUUGAUCUUUGACGGGCCUAAACGGGCUUUUAGAAAUUUGGCGGGCUUAAACGGGUAGGAGACUAAACGGGUUUCAAAAUAUUUAGUUAAACAGGCAUGGGCCUAGCAAAUUCUCUUCUAAAGUGGUACGCCAUCUUCUAAAGUGGUCGACUGG